RNAcentral lists this non-coding RNA (447 nucleotides) under Pongo abelii (Sumatran orangutan). Lineage: Eukaryota; Metazoa; Chordata; Mammalia; Primates; Hominidae. The record is from RNAcentral.
UCUCCCUUCUCUCUUCCCCCUCCAGCCUCCACUCCUUCGCCCGCUCACUCACCCUCUCCCUCUCCCGCUGCCCCCCCUUUCUCCCCCACCUCUUUGUUUCAGCUGAGAACCAGCUCCUCGGGACAGUUCCCACACUGCAGUGCCUCUGGUGAGGAGACAGCGCCACUGAGGCCUCCUCUGAACUCCCAAAAUGUGGCCUAUGCCAUCACCGAGGCCGCAGGAACAAGAGGUGGGUGUCCAUGACAUUGGUACCUGUCAUCCCUGUGUGCAGCAGGUGUGCCCCACCCUGGAGGCGGCAGAAGAAGAUGGACAAGAGCCUAGAAGAUCCCAGCCUUGCCACUGGCUAUGAGCACAGGACAGGGGGAGGCUCAAUGCUAAGGCUGCCAAAGAAAAUACAGGACGUCCAGUUAAAUUUGAAUUUCAAAUAAACAAGUAAUUUUUAAAGUA